AUUUGACUAGUAUUUUAAAGACAUCCACCUGGCUGCUAUGUUCGGCGUGCCCUCUGGGGGCCAGGGUGUAGGCAGGAAGCAGAGAAGCCCGCAGGAGCUUAUGUCAACAUCUAUGCAAGAGAUGGCACUGGCUUGACCCGGGAAGGUAGUGCGGAGGAAAGAAGGAAAAAGAUGACCUGGCCUCCUUGUAAACAUGUGAAUGGCAUACACAUACAGCACAUUUACUAGAAAAGAGGUCUAAGAGUUUGGAUGGCAAAUGAACUAGAAUCUCUGAAUUUAUGGGGUAGUUAGCCUGAGAGCAUCUGUGACAGUCUAAGUGGUGGCCCCCAUGGCACUGCUGUUUUUCUUCUCUAUUCUGUUGCUAGUAAUGUUUUCUUCAUCCCUGGACACCUGUCAGCUACUGAUGAAGUGAACUGGCUCAAGAAAGGGCUGGACCUUGUUAAUUGCAUAGAAAAAACUAUCAAGAUGGUUGAAAUCAAAUGCAAAGAGGCAACAUCAAACAAGACCUAAAAAAAUAAAAAAUAAAACAAUAAACAAUCAAACAAAAAAACGAGCAACAGAC
Piliocolobus tephrosceles (Ugandan red Colobus) is the source of this 562-nucleotide long non-coding RNA. RefSeq lists it as uncharacterized. The transcript has 3 exons. The record is from RefSeq and is a predicted model, not a curated record. Lineage: Eukaryota; Metazoa; Chordata; Mammalia; Primates; Cercopithecidae.